CCUACGGGUGGCAGUAGUGAGGAAUAUUGGUCAAUGGACGAGAGUCUGAACCAGCCAAGUAGCGUGAAGGAUGACUGCCCUAUGGGUUGUAAACUUCUUUUAUAUGGGAAUAAAAUGUUCCACGUGUGGGAUUUUGUAUGUACCCUAUGAAUAAGGAUCGGCUAACUCCGUGCCAGCAGCCGCGGUAAUACGGAGGAUCCGAGCGUUCUCCGGAUUUAAUGGGUUUAAAGGGGGCGUAGGUGGAUUGUUAACUCAGUUGUGAAAGUUUGCGGCUCAACCGUUAAAUUGCAGUUGAAACUGGGAGGCUUGAGGACAGUUGAGGUGGGCGGAAUUUGUGGUGUAGCGGUGAAA
Molecule: ribosomal RNA, 351 nt
Filed under: uncultured bacterium
Lineage: Bacteria
Description: partial 16S ribosomal RNA
Rfam family: Bacterial small subunit ribosomal RNA
Source: RNAcentral